UAUCCAUUCCAUUAGGUGUGUGCGCGCCGCGUGCACGAUCGCCGGAAGAUUUUCUACCCUAGCAACACCGGCGGGUCGGCUGUGGAGCCCCCUAGAGUGGCGCCUUCAUGGCGCUGAAUAUAUAUCCCAGCCGACCCGGCGCCCCCUCAGUUCCUUCUUACCGCCCCUGACGGUCGUUGGAACUGUGGAGCGCUGCUUAGCUGUUCUCCACUCUCCCUAGCUUAGUUAGUUAUUCGCAGUUAUAGUUAUAGUUGUAGUUCUAGUGUUUACAGUUUAAUAGUUAAAUAGUUUUAAAGUUGUUCUAGUUGUUAUUGUAGUUCAGGGGAUUAAGGGGGUCGUCUCCCCAUUUCUCCCCCGGCCGCGGGGCCGGGCUCAUGCCCAACGCUCCCGGCUUCAAGCAGUGCGCCUCCUGCGCUAAGCCUAUGCCCACGAGCGACCCGCACGACUCCUGUCUGAAGUGCCUGGGAGAGUCCCAUCAAACAGAUAAGUGCAAGAUCUGUAAGGCCUUCAGACCAAGGACCAAGAAGGAGCGGGACUUUCGGCUCCGGCAACUCGUGAUGGAGGCGGCACUUAGUCCGGACGCUCCAUCUACAAGCCAGGCCCCGGCACCUAGCGCCUCGGUGCGCAGUGCCCCGGCAGCACCGGCCACGAUGACCACGCGAGUGGCGUCGGACAAGCCUCCCCGGCACCGGACCUCGUCGGCACCGCAAGCACAGCAAGUGCCUCGGCGCCGGUCAUUAUCCCCGGGGCAUAAAAAAGCCCAUAAGACGGGGACCUCCGUGCCGAAGACGCCGGCUCCCCCAGUGCCGAGGGUAGAGCCGCGUCCGCCGGUGGAGCACCGGAAACAGGUGCCUCCAGCACCGUCGACUCCGGCGCCGAGGCCGUUGAGUCCGGUGCAGAUAGCGUCUCCACCGAGACCGGCGGUGAUACAGUGCCUCCCGUCGACUCCAGAGACCUUCGCGGCAGCGAGAGACUUAAUAGCUCUCACGGAGCCGGCACCGCCCCAACCACCGGCACCGACGGCACCGUUGACUCGCCCGGUCCAGUCGAGGGGGAAACCUGCCUUGAUGCGCCCUCCAUCGCAAGGGCUGGAACCUCGGCACCGAUCCAGGUCCCGAAGCAGGUCCCCACGCCGCUCGCAGUCCCGGCGCCGAAUAUCACCUCGGCACCGGUCGUACUCGCGGCCAAGAUCUUCUUCGCGGCACCGCUCUACGUCUCGGCACCGCUAUGAUCGUCGGCACCGAUCAACGUCGAGACGUAGUUCUCGGCACCGCUACGGUCGACGCUCGACGUCGAGAGGCCGCUCCCGGCACCGGGCAUACUCCAGGUCCUCGUCGAGGUCCAGAUCCGACUCCCGGCACCGACGAGGUCAUCGGCAC
This 1379-nucleotide long non-coding RNA is filed under the name Chrysemys picta bellii (western painted turtle). RNAcentral describes it as "lncRNA (ENSCPBG00000001926.1)". Lineage: Eukaryota; Metazoa; Chordata; Testudines; Emydidae. The record is from RNAcentral.